RNAcentral lists this ribosomal RNA (728 nucleotides) under uncultured fungus. RNAcentral's name for it is "eukaryotic LSU rRNA". The stretch from base 290 to 443 matches the Rfam family "5.8S ribosomal RNA". The record is from RNAcentral. Lineage: Eukaryota; Fungi.
CUUGGUCAUUUAGAGGAAGUAAAAGUCGUAACAAGGUUUCCGUAGGUGAACCUGCGGAAGGAUCAUUAAUGAGUUCUUUGAAGUGGGACUGAUGCUGGCCUCCCGAGGCAAGUGCUCGUCCUCACUCUCAUCCACUCACAACACCUGUGCACUGUUGAGGUGUGGCCCCCCUUUGACGGAGCCGUUCCCUCCUCUCGCGAGGAGGUUGAGCCGGGGUCAGACCUUCUCCUCGUCACAAACAACUUGUAAUGUAUUGACAGAAUGCAUGUGUUAUUAUACGAAAUAAUACAACUUUCAACAACGGAUCUCUUGGCUCUCGCAUCGAUGAAGAACGCAGCGAAAUGCGAUAAGUAAUGUGAAUUGCAGAAUUCAGUGAAUCAUCGAAUCUUUGAACGCACCUUGCGCUCCUUGGUAUUCCGAGGAGCAUGCCUGUUUGAGUGUCAUGAAAUUCUCAACCCACCCUGCUUUUUGUAAGUGGGGGUUCGGGCUUGGAUUUGGGGGCUUUCCUUGCUGGUCGACCCUCCUCGAUCGGCUCCCCUUGAAGUCAUUAGCUCGGGACCACCCUGCUUCCCGGUCAGUUCACGGUGUGAUAGUCUAUCAGCACCUGUGUGUGGCCGCGGAUUGGCAAUGUGUCCGGCUCUCUAAAGAGACAUCGAAACCUCCCUUUAAUCUGACCUCAAAUCAGGUAGGACUACCCGCUGAACUUAAGCAUAUCAAUAAGCGGAGGA